CCUACGGGUGGCAGCAGUGGGGGAUAUUGCACAAUGGGGGAAACCCUGAUGCAGCGACGCCGCGUGGGCGAAGAAGUAUUUCGGUAUGUAAAGCCCUAUUAGCAGGGAAGAAGCAAUGACGGUACCUGGGUAAGCAGCACCGGCUAAAUACGUGCCAGGAGGCGCGGUAAUACGUAUGGUGCAAGCGUUUACCGGAUUUACUGGGUGUAAAGGGAGGGCAGGCGGCACGGCAAGCCUGAUGUGAAAGCCCGCGGCCCAACCGCGGGACUGCAUUUGGAACUACCGGGCUGGAGUGCCGGAGAGGUAGGCGGAAUUCCUAGUGUAGCGGUGAAAUGCGUAGAUAUUAGGAGGAACACCAGUGGCGAAGGCGGCCUACUGGACGGUGACUGACGCUGAGGCACGAAAGCGUGGGGAGCAAACAGGAUUAGAUACCCUUGUAGUC
RNAcentral lists this ribosomal RNA (442 nucleotides) under uncultured bacterium. RNAcentral describes it as "partial 16S ribosomal RNA". It matches the Rfam family "Bacterial small subunit ribosomal RNA", at positions 338 to 795 of the family's 1533-position model. The record is from RNAcentral.